This 468-nucleotide ribosomal RNA is filed under the name uncultured bacterium. RNAcentral describes it as "partial 16S ribosomal RNA". It matches the Rfam family "Bacterial small subunit ribosomal RNA", at positions 28 to 507 of the family's 1533-position model. The record is from RNAcentral.
GACGAACGCUGGCGGCGUGCUUAACACAUGCAAGUCGAACGGAAAGGCCCUGCUUUUGUGGGGUGCUCGAGUGGCGAACGGGUGAGUAACACGUGAGUAACCUGCCCUUGACUUUGGGAUAACUUCAGGAAACUGGGGCUAAUACCGGAUAGGAGCUCCUGCUGCAUGGUGGGGGUUGGAAAGUUUCGGCGGUUGGGGAUGGACUCGCGGCUUAUCAGCUUGUUGGUGGGGUAGUGGCUUACCAAGGCUUUGACGGGUAGCCGGCCUGGUAGGGUGACCGGCCACACUGGGCCUGAGCUACGGCCCAGCCCCCUACGGGACGCAGCGGUGGGGAAUAUUGCACAAUGGGCUGAAGCCUGAUGCGGCAACGCCGCGUGCGGGACGACGGCCUUCGGUUUGUAAUCCGCUUUCGCCUGUGACGAAGCGUGAGUGACGGUAAUGGGUAAAGAAGCACCGGCUAACUACGUG